Molecule: ribosomal RNA, 241 nt
Filed under: uncultured bacterium
Lineage: Bacteria
Description: partial 16S ribosomal RNA
Rfam family: Bacterial small subunit ribosomal RNA
Source: RNAcentral
UACCGGGUGACCGGAUGCCGAUCUCGAAAACCUGUCCCAGUUCGGACUGGAGUCUGCAACCCGACUCCACGAAGUUGGAUUCGCUAGUAAUCGCGCAUCAGCCAUGGCGCGGUGAAUACGUUCCCGGGCCUUGUACACACCGCCCGUCAAGCCAUGGGAGCCGGGGGCGCCUGAAGUCCGGGACCGCGAGGACCGGCCUAAGGCGAAACUGGUGACUGGGGCUAAGUCGUAACAAGGUAAC